RNAcentral lists this ribosomal RNA (555 nucleotides) under Acrobeloides sp. TKb8. RNAcentral's name for it is "SSU rRNA". It matches the Rfam family "Eukaryotic small subunit ribosomal RNA", at positions 1052 to 1633 of the family's 1831-position model. The record is from RNAcentral. Lineage: Eukaryota; Metazoa; Nematoda; Chromadorea; Rhabditida; Cephalobidae.
AUCCGCCGGUGGAUUUUUAGCCCUGGUGGGUAGCUUCCCGGAAACGAAAGUCUUCCGGUUCCGGGGGAAGUAUGGUUGCAAAGCUGAAACUUAAAGGAAUUGACGGAAGGGCACCACCAGGAGUGGAGCCUGCGGCUUAAUUUGACUCAACACGGGGAAACUCACCCGGCCCGGACACCGUAAGGAUUGACAGAUUGAUAGCUCUUUCAUGAUUCGGUGGUUGGUGGUGCAUGGCCGUUCUUAGUUCGUGGAUCGAUUUGUCUGGUUUAUUCCGAUAACGAGCGAGACUCUAGCCUACUAAAUAGUAACGAGAUUAUCAAUGUCUCAGUUGCUUCUUAGAGGGAUUUUCGGUGUUUAGCCGCACGAGAUUGAGCAAUAACAGGUCUGUGAUGCCCUUAGAUGUCCGGGGCUGCACGCGCGCUACACUGGCGAAAUCAGCGUGCUGUAUCCAUUCUCGAAAGGGAUUGGUAAACCCAUGAAAAUUUGCCGUGCUUGGGAUCGGAAAUUGCAAUUAUUUUCCGUGAACGAGGAAUUCCAAGUAAGUGCGAGUCAUCA